UAGGGAAUCUUCCGCAAUGUGCGAAAGCCUGACGGAGCAAUGCCGCGUGUGUGAAGAAGGCCUUCGGGUCGUAAAACUCUGUUAUAAGAGAAGAACAAAUUGUAGAGUAACUGCUACAGUCUUGACGGUAUCUUAUCAGAAAGCCACGGCUAACUACGUGCCAGCAGCCGCGGUAAUACGUAUGUGGCAAGCGUUGUCCGGAUUUAUUGGGCGUAAAGGGAGCGCAGGUGGUUUCUUAAGUCUGAUGUGAAAGCCCACGGCUUAACCGUGGAGGGUCAUUGGAAACUGGGAAACUUGAGUACAGAAGAGGAAUGUGGAACUCCAUGUGUAGCGGUGGAAUGCGUAGAUAUAUGGAAGAACAACAGUGGCGAAGGCGACAGUCUGGUAUGUUACUGACACUGAGGCUCGAAAGCGUGGGGAGCAAACAGG
RNAcentral lists this ribosomal RNA (429 nucleotides) under Acidobacteriota bacterium. RNAcentral describes it as "Acidobacteria bacterium partial 16S ribosomal RNA". It matches the Rfam family "Bacterial small subunit ribosomal RNA", at positions 355 to 776 of the family's 1533-position model. Lineage: Bacteria; Pseudomonadati; Acidobacteriota. The record is from RNAcentral.